Molecule: unclassified non-coding RNA, 314 nt
Filed under: plant metagenome
Description: partial contains 5.8S ribosomal RNA, internal transcribed spacer 2, and large subunit ribosomal RNA
Rfam family: 5.8S ribosomal RNA (bases 1-105)
Source: RNAcentral
GAAAUGCGAUACUUAAUGUGAAUUGCAGAAUUCAGUGAAUCAUCGAGUCUUUGAACGCACAUUGCGCCCCCUGGUAUUCCGGGGGGCAUGCCUGUCCGAGCGUCAUUGCUGCCCUCAAGCACGGCUUGUGUGUUGGGCUUCCGUCCCUGGCAACGGGGACGGGCCCAAAAGGCAGUGGCGGCACCAUGUCUGGUCCUCGAGCGUAUGGGGCUUUGUCACCCGCUCCCGUAGGUCCAGCUGGCAGCUAGCCUCGCAACCAAUCUUUUUAACCAGGUUGACCUCGGAUCAGGUAGGGAUACCCGCUGAACUUAAGC